AUUCUUACCUGGCAGGGGAAAUACCAUAAAUACAAAGGUGUUUUUCCAGGGCAAAACUUAUCAUUGCUCUCUGGAUAUGCUGACCCCUGUGACUCCCCCAAAUGUCAGAAACUCAACCGACCGCAUUAUUUGUGAUGGGGGGAAACAAAUUCACACUCUCCCGUUUUUUUUUUCCUU
Molecule: small nuclear RNA, 177 nt
Filed under: Sorex araneus (European shrew)
Lineage: Eukaryota; Metazoa; Chordata; Mammalia; Eulipotyphla; Soricidae
Description: U1 spliceosomal RNA (ENSSARG00000016240.1)
Rfam family: U1 spliceosomal RNA
About the family: U1 is a small nuclear RNA (snRNA) component of the spliceosome (involved in pre-mRNA splicing). Its 5' end forms complementary base pairs with the 5' splice junction, thus defining the 5' donor site of an intron.
Source: RNAcentral